CCGGGGAGGGUCUUGGAAACUGGGAAACUUGACUGCAGAAAAGGAGAGUGGAAUUCCACGUGUACGGUGAAAUGCGUAAGAUGUGGAGGAACNACCAGNUGGCGAAGGCGACUCUCUGGUCUGUAACUGACGCUGAGGAGCGAAAGCGUGGGGAGCGAACAGGAUUAGAUACCCUGGUAGUCCACGCCGUAAACGAUGAGUGCUAAGUGUUAGGGGGUUUCCGCCCCUUAGUGCUGCAGCUAACGCAUUAAGCACUCCGCCUGGGGAGUACGGUCGCAAGACUGAAACUCAAAGGAAUUGACGGGGGCCCGCACAAGCGGUGGAGCAUGUGGUUUAAUUCGAAGCAACGCGAAGAACCUUACCAGGUCUUGACAUCCUCUGACAACCCUAGAGAUAGGGCUUUCCCUUCGGGGACAGAGUGACAGGUGGUGCAUGGUUGUCGUCAGCUCGUGUCGUGAGAUGUUGGGUUAAGUCCCGCAACGAGCGCAACCCUUGAUCUUAGUUGCCAGCAUUCAGUUGGGCACUCUAAGGUGACUGCCGGUGACAAACCGGAGGAAGGUGGGGAUGACGUCAAAUCAUCAUGCCCCUUAUGACCUGGGCUACACACGUGCUACAAUGGACAGAACAAAGGGCUGCGAGACCGCAAGGUUUAGCCAAUCCCACAAAUCUGUUCUCAGUUCGGAUCGCAGUCUGCAACUCGACUGCGUGAAGCUGGAAUCGCUAGUAAUCGCGGAUCAGCAUGCCGCGGUGAAUACGU
Molecule: ribosomal RNA, 757 nt
Filed under: uncultured Bacillus sp.
Lineage: Bacteria; Bacillati; Bacillota; Bacilli; Caryophanales; Bacillaceae
Description: bacterial SSU rRNA
Rfam family: Bacterial small subunit ribosomal RNA
Source: RNAcentral